RNAcentral lists this ribosomal RNA (492 nucleotides) under uncultured bacterium. Its description in RNAcentral is "partial 16S ribosomal RNA". It matches the Rfam family "Bacterial small subunit ribosomal RNA", at positions 28 to 507 of the family's 1533-position model. The record is from RNAcentral.
GGUGAACGCUGGCGGUAGGCCUAACACAUGCAAGUCGAACGGCAGCACAGUAAGAGCUUGCUCUUACGGGUGGCGAGUGGCGGACGGGUGAGGCAUACAUCGGAAUCUACUUUUUCGUGGGGGAUAACGUAGGGAAACUUACGCUACUACCGCAUACGACCUACGGGUGAAAGCAGGGGAUCUUCGGACCUUGCGCGAUUGAAUGAGCCGAUGUCGGAUUAGCUAGUGGGCGGGGUAAAGGCCCACCAAGGCGACGAUCCGUAGCUGGUCUGAGAGGAUGAUCAGCCACACUGGAACUGAGACACGGUCCAGACUCCUACGGGAGGCAGCAGUGGGGAAUAUUGGACAAUGGGCGCAAGCCUGAUCCAGCCAUACCGCGUGGGUGAAGAAGGCCUUCGGGUUGUAAAGCCCUUUUGUUGGGAAAGAAAAGCGGCAGGUUAAUACCCCGCUGUUCUGACGGUACCCAAAGAAUAAGCACCGGCUAACUUCGUG